AGCUCCCGGGAGCCCCGCGCUGGGGUUCUCCCGUGCAGUAACAGGUGUGAGCAUCCAUGCAGCAUUUUGAUGGUCAUGUAUGAUACUGCAUA
Molecule: small nucleolar RNA, 92 nt
Filed under: Columba livia (rock pigeon)
Lineage: Eukaryota; Metazoa; Chordata; Aves; Columbiformes; Columbidae
Description: Small Cajal body specific RNA 16
Rfam family: Small Cajal body specific RNA 16
About the family: scaRNAs are a specific class of small nuclear RNAs which localise to the Cajal bodies and guide the modification of RNA polymerase II transcribed spliceosomal RNAs U1, U2, U4, U5 and U12. ACA47 belongs to the H/ACA box class of guide RNAs as it has the predicted hairpin-hinge-hairpin-tail structure, the conserved H/ACA-box motifs and is found associated with GAR1.
Source: Rfam by way of RNAcentral